CGAAAGCGUGGGGAGCGAACAGGAUUAGAUACCCUGGUAGUCCACGCCGUAAACGGUGGGCACUAGUUGUGGGGACCUUCCACGGUCUCUGCGACGCAGCUAACGCAUUAAGUGCCCCGCCUGGGGAGUACGAUCGCAAGAUUAAAACUCAAAGGAAUUGACGGGGCCCCGCACAAGCAGCGGAGCAUGCGGCUUAAUUCGACGCAACGCGAAGAACCUUACCAAGGCUUGACAUAUACAGGAAUAUGGCAGAGAUGUCAUAGCCGCAAGGUCUGUAUACAGGUGGUGCAUGGUUGUCGUCAGCUCGUGUCGUGAGAUGUUGGGUUAAGUCCCGCAACGAGCGCAACCCUCGUUCUGUGUUGCCAGCAUUUAGUUGGGGACUCACAGGAGACUGCCGGGGUUAACUCGGAGGAAGGUGGGGAUGACGUCAAAUCAUCAUGCCCCUUAUGUCUUGGGCUGCACGCAUGCUACAAUGGCUGGUACAAACGGCUGCAAUACCGCAAGGUGGAGCGAAUCCGAGAAAGCCAGUCUCAGUUCGGAUUGGGGUCUGCAACUCGACCCCAUGAAGUCGGAGUUGCUAGUAAUCGUAGAUCAGCAACGCUACGGUGAAUACGUUCCCGGGGCUUGUACACACCGCCCGUCACGUCACGAAAGUCGGUAACACCCGAAGUCAGUGGCCCAACCGCAAGGAGGGAGCUGCCGAA
This 704-nucleotide ribosomal RNA is filed under the name uncultured Actinomycetes bacterium. RNAcentral's name for it is "bacterial SSU rRNA". It matches the Rfam family "Bacterial small subunit ribosomal RNA", at positions 754 to 1460 of the family's 1533-position model. Lineage: Bacteria; Bacillati; Actinomycetota; Actinomycetes. The record is from RNAcentral.